CGUAUAUUAAAGUUGUUGCAGUUAAAAAGCUCGUAGUUGGAUUUGUGGCGUAUGGUGUGUUCCGGGCAUUUGUUGUCUGAGUAACCUGCUGUUGCCAUCCUUGGGUGGAACCUGUGUGGCAUUAGGUUGUCGUGCAGGGGAUGCCCAUCAUUUACUGUGAAAAAAUUAGAGUGUUCAAAGCAGGCUUAUGCCGUUGAAUAUAUUAGCAUGGAAUAAUGAGAUAGGACUUUUUUACUAUUUUGUUGGUUUGCGUAAAGAGGUAAUGAUUAAUAGGGACAGUUGGGGG
Molecule: ribosomal RNA, 286 nt
Filed under: uncultured diatom
Lineage: Eukaryota; Bacillariophyta
Description: partial 18S ribosomal RNA
Rfam family: Eukaryotic small subunit ribosomal RNA
Source: RNAcentral